RNAcentral lists this ribosomal RNA (478 nucleotides) under uncultured bacterium. Its description in RNAcentral is "partial 16S ribosomal RNA". It matches the Rfam family "Bacterial small subunit ribosomal RNA", at positions 28 to 507 of the family's 1533-position model. The record is from RNAcentral.
GAUGAACGCUGGCGGCGUGCUUAACACAUGCAAGUCGAACGGGAAUUAUUUUAUUGAAACUUCGGUCGAUUUAAUUUAAUUCUAGUGGCGGACGGGUGAGUAACGCGUGGGUAACCUGCCUUAUACAGGGGGAUAACAGUCAGAAAUGGCUGCUAAUACCGCAUAAGCGCACAGAGCUGCAUGGCUCAGUGUGAAAAACUCCGGUGGUAUAAGAUGGACCCGCGUUGGAUUAGCUGGUUGGUGGGGUAACGGCCCACCAAGGCGACGAUCCAUAGCCGGCCUGAGAGGGUGAACGGCCACAUUGGGACUGAGACACGGCCCAGACUCCUACGGGAGGCAGCAGUGGGGAAUAUUGCACAAUGGGGGAAACCCUGAUGCAGUGACGCCGCGUGAAGGAAGAAGUAUCUCGGUAUGUAAACUUCUAUCAGCAGGGAAGAUAGUGACGGUACCUGACUAAGAAGCCCCGGCUAACUACGUG